Molecule: long non-coding RNA, 2196 nt
Organism: Phacochoerus africanus (Common warthog)
Lineage: Eukaryota; Metazoa; Chordata; Mammalia; Artiodactyla; Suidae
Exons: 3
Source: RefSeq, a predicted model, not a curated record
UUCUCUCCCCAACACUCCCUCUGGAUUUGGUUUCAUCCCACAGGAUGAGGCUGGAAUUCUGGGCAUUGGCCAUUUUGACUUUGAUUAAAGGUAAAAACACAGUGCUGAAUUCUUCCUCACGGUUACUGCUUCCUGAGAAGUUCAGUGGCAAGAAGCUCUGUUCUGCUGCAUCCUAAUCCUCCAGCGCGCUCUGGUGGUCCAGUGCCUGACACUUGGUGAGCUCAGUCAAAGCGACUCUGCCUUCCUCGUCCUGCUAACAGCUGGGCUGGAGCCACCAUCACCAUGGAUGCCACCCCUGUCCUUGGAAUGUCACCAUCGUUCCACAUGGCGGAGCACCCGUCAGCUCAGUUACCCGAGGUCGACUGGAGUGCGAAAUUUUUAAUGGAAAAUCCCAUUAAAGGAAACAAACAAUUCUUAAGUUUUAAACUGUGCGGCAUGCUGAGUAGCACGAGGUACUGCCCCAUCUGGGAUCCCCAACCAUCGACAUUGUCAUGGCUUGAAGAUGCAGGAUCCGCUGAAGCAGAUGAUCCUCCUCUGGGUCAUCACAGGUCAGUAGCGGCCUAACACUGUGUCACCAUGCCUGUGUCAUUCACCUCACCUCAUCUCAUCACAUAGGCAUUUUAUCCUCUCACAUCGCAAGAAGCAUGAGUACAGUACAAUAAGAUCAUUUGAGAGAGAGACCAAAUUCACAUAACUUUUAAUAUUUUUAUAAUUUUUCUAUUUUAUUAUUGUUAACAUCUUGCUGUGUGUAAUUUAUAAAUCACACUUUAUCAUAGGCAUUUAUAUUUCAGGAAAAAAAGCAGUAUAUAUAGGAUUUGGUACUAUUUGUGGUUUCUGGCAUCACUUGGGUUUCUUAGAACGUCUCCCUCUUGGAGAUGGCUAUGUGACAACAGGCAGAGGAUUGAGCAUCUCAAAACUCUGGAGAAUGCUCUAUCUAGAGAAGGGGUAGUUUAGGGGGUAGAGUCACGGGCGAUGAGAGAGGCACUUCCGGGGCUUCCACAGACCACCAAGGCUUUAUUUCCUAACCUGGGGAGUAUUGGCACAUAGAUGUUUGCUUCAUUACUAUUGGAAUUAUGCAUGGUUGAAUAUAUUCUUCUGAUUCUAGUUCUCAAUUUCCAAAAAAAAAAGUCAAAUUUGAAUUACUUCGUCCCGGCCUUUCAAUAAUGCAGGCUGUUGGUGCCCAGCUCAUUCAACUGCGGAUUCUCUUUCAGAAGAUCUAAAUCUAGCCCAGAAAUCUAUAUGUUAAUAUCUUCCCCUGGUGAUUUUUGGUGUUUCUGUCACUUGAAACUGCUGCAAGUUGGAGUGAGCAAGAGUUGAUGUGAUACCUCUUAGUGUAGAGACAGAUGCAGGGAGGGCCGAGAGCAUAAAGCAGCCCACCCUGGCACAUCUGCAGACAGCCACCCCCAUCCCCCAAAUCCUUAAGUUCCCUUUAUACAAAAGUCUAGUAUGUAACUUAUAUCUCUGUAUCCUUUCUAUAACUUGAAAAUGUGGAGUCCUGUAAUGCAAACUCCCAGCGCCUCUCAGCUGCAAUAGAGGCCCUCCAACUUGUAAAUCCGCAAGGCAUUGAACAUCUGGACAGAGCAUGUGCCUUGGAAAAAGUGUGCUUCUUGGUAUCCAUGGUGUCUGCAGCAAAGCAAAACUGUGCAAGGGGUGGAAUAUGGAAACACAUUGGACAGAACCCUUAUUAAAGGGUGUAAAGUGUCACUGAGAGCCUCUGCUCUUUUACUGCAGGAGGGUUAUAAAUAUUAAUAAGGGCCUUCGUGAGUUCUCUCAUCACAUGGGUUUCCCCCAACUGUUUUUUCCAUAAAGUCUUAAGUUGCGAAUCCUCCUGGUAUUUGGAAAGGAAUACAGUAAAAUCAGGAAAUAGAGCAGAAUUGGUCCACAUACACGCCAGCCUUUGGGUCCCAAGUCACUCUCAAAGAUGUGCCCCCACCCGCAAGUCUGCUCCUUUGAAGCCUUCCUCAAGCAUUCCUCCAAGCCCUGGGAUUCUCUUUGGUAUUAGAAACUGAUGUAAGCCAAUGUGUCAGAGUCCUGGUAACUCUCGGGGGCCUCCAACUAUCAGAGGUGGGCAAGCUGAGUUCUCUCUCCUUCAUGCUGGCUACCACACGGUGUGCUAUGAAAGCAAUUCUCAGACCGCUAAUUCAAAAUCGACAGGGCAGAGUUCCUACUGCGGCUCAGUGGGUUAAGAACCCAACC